RNAcentral lists this long non-coding RNA (496 nucleotides) under Pongo abelii (Sumatran orangutan). RNAcentral's name for it is "lincRNA". The record is from RNAcentral. Lineage: Eukaryota; Metazoa; Chordata; Mammalia; Primates; Hominidae.
ACUUGAAUAAGAUAACUUCUGAGAAUAAAUUUAUGUACUAUUUUGGAAGAAUUGCUCUAUAGAGUAAAAAAUAAUUCUGGAUAAUUGAAAGUUAUCUUGUGAGUAUCUGGACAUUAAGGAUACAUUUCAAGACUCCUGUUUUCACUAAAAUCCAAUAUUUGUUUAAGCACUUCAAGUUAAAGAGGAGCACCUUCCCCUUUCACCCUGACUAUUGUUGUUAAUUCGUUUUUGAAGCUAUAUAAGAACGUUUCUUUAAUUGGUUUUCCCUUAGGCAUACAUUAGCUCUCUGUUCAAGACUUAGUAGCAGAGAGUAGUAAAUGGUUAUUAGUGGUUCUUCAUAUAAAACACAUUAGAGUUUCUUAGAAGAAAACUAUGCAUAAAGAUUACUUUCAGAUAUCAUGUCUGUAGUUCGUUAAUAGAGAAGUUUUUCUGAACGUGUAGAACUGUAAUAAGAUAAAUAAAUUUUUAAAAAGAAAAAGUAAGCAUAUAUACAAAA